GCCCACAAUCCAUGCACGAUUAACGAUACGACUAAUGCGACUUUGAAGCUUACAAUCACAUUUGACAUAAAGACGAAAUAACUUGAAUUUUCGAAAAUUUUAAAUAAGUAAAUACAGUAGAUAUGAAAGAAAUUUUUUCAGUAGCAUGCAGAGUACGAUGAGUUGCAGUAGGUAUUAAAGUCUGGAACAAAUUUAUUACCAAAUAGAACUUACACAAAAUGGAUCAACAGGAUCUUAUACAAAUAUCUUAAAUGUUAGAAAAGAAAGGUGCACUUUAAUCUCAAAGAUCGUUUGAUAAGAAAAUAUAGCCCAAAUGCAAUAUUUUACAAGAUACAUCAAUUAGAUUAAAGACAGUUGCCCGACAAUUUGUUUAGCAUGUGAAUAAUUUGUGGCACCAAUAAAGAAUUCUUAGUGGCUAUGUUCAAAUUUCUAUCCGAAUGCUACUCAGAUAUCACUCCAUCCUUGUUAUUUACCAAACAUUAAACAAGGAUGACACCCGAGAGGGAAUUCGAACACAGGAAAAUUUUUUAGAAUCAUGAUACAUUAUAUUGAAUAAAUAUAAUAAAGUUUGUAAGAAAAA
This 580-nucleotide long non-coding RNA is filed under the name Acromyrmex echinatior (Panamanian leafcutter ant). RNAcentral's name for it is "uncharacterized LOC105148160, transcript variant X1". Lineage: Eukaryota; Metazoa; Arthropoda; Insecta; Hymenoptera; Formicidae. The record is from RNAcentral.